Molecule: ribosomal RNA, 217 nt
Filed under: Glomeromycotina sp.
Lineage: Eukaryota; Fungi; Glomeromycota
Description: partial small subunit ribosomal RNA
Rfam family: Eukaryotic small subunit ribosomal RNA (bases 32-217)
Source: RNAcentral
GGGUCAGUAGGUUGGUCGUGCCACCGGUACGUACUGGUCUCACUGAUUCCUCCUUCCUGAAGAACCGUAAUGCCAUUAAUUUGGUGUUGCGGGGGAAACAGGACUGUUACUUUGAAAAAAUUAGAGUGUUUAAAGCAAGCUAACGCUUGAAUACAUUAGCAUGGAAUAAUGAAAUAGGACGAUCGAUCCUAUUUUGUUGGUUUCUGGGAUUGACGUA